CAGUGGUGAAGCAGGCAGGCUGUGGAUAUCAACAGGAAAUGAGCACGGGAGAUUAAGUUAAUGGAGACCCGACGAUGUUGCCUCUCAUCACCCAUCAUGGACGCACCUUUGCCAGCGAGACGAACAGCUGCACCGACGGGCCCCUGGGGCUGCUCUCAACCUCUAUAGCUGUGCCGGAGGAUUUGUGUUACGCCGCGGGACUCUUGCAUGAUCUGUCAGAGAACGCGCUGAAUGUUGGUCGCCGUCCAUCUCUCCGAGCGCUCAGUGAUUGCUGGUGCCGCUUUGGGGAUAGGUGGCCGUUUGACCUUUGAAUGAAUGCGCUGAUGGGGGCCGCUGAGUCCACUCUGGAGCAGUUCCUGAGAGCAUAUAGAUACAACAGUGAGGUCUAAUGCAACAGCGCAAUGCAGAUAGGGAGAAGACUUGUGGAGGAUUCAUUCACAAUGCUGCAGCAUAUUAACUGUUCUGACUGCGGGCUCUUUCAUUAAAGAAAGGUAUACACAUG
Long non-coding RNA from Maylandia zebra (zebra mbuna), 502 nucleotides. RefSeq lists it as uncharacterized. The record is from RefSeq and is a predicted model, not a curated record. NCBI's taxonomy places the organism in Eukaryota, Metazoa, Chordata, Actinopteri, Cichliformes, Cichlidae.